Molecule: ribosomal RNA, 348 nt
Filed under: Rhipicephalus turanicus
Lineage: Eukaryota; Metazoa; Arthropoda; Arachnida; Ixodida; Ixodidae
Description: partial large subunit ribosomal RNA
Rfam family: Archaeal large subunit ribosomal RNA (bases 214-348)
Source: RNAcentral
AAAAACUUUUUUUAAAUUAAAAAUUGAAAUUUUUUUAAUUUGUGCAGAAACAAUUAUUAAUAUUAAGGACAAGAAGACCCUAUGAAUUUAUUAAAUUUCAUUCAAUAUGUAAUUACUAUUGAAGAAAUUUUGGCUGGGGCGGCUAAAAAAUAUUUUAAACUUUUUAAAAAUAAAAUGAUCCAUUAUUAAUGAUUAUAUGUUAAAUACUCUAGGGAUAACAGCGUUAUAUUUUUUGAUAGACCAUAUUGACAAAAAAGUUUGCGACCUCGAUGUUGGAUUAGGAUACUUUUUUAAUGCAGAUAUUAAAAAAAGAAGUUUGUUCAACUUUCAAUUUCCUACAUGAUCUGA